This 519-nucleotide ribosomal RNA is filed under the name uncultured Glomus. RNAcentral describes it as "SSU rRNA". It matches the Rfam family "Eukaryotic small subunit ribosomal RNA", at positions 571 to 1092 of the family's 1831-position model. The record is from RNAcentral. Lineage: Eukaryota; Fungi; Glomeromycota; Glomeromycetes; Glomerales; Glomeraceae.
CAGCCGCGUAAUUCCAGCUCCAAUAGCGUAUAUUAAAGUUGUUGCAGUUAAAAAGCUCGUAGUUGAAUUUCGGGGUCAAUAAGUUGGUCAUGCCAAUGGUAUGCACUGGCUUUAUUGAUUCCUACCUCUUGACGAACUGUGAUGCCAUUAAUUUGGUGUUGCAAGGAAUCAGGACUGUUACCUUGAAAAAAUUAGAGUGUUUAAAGCAAGCUUAUGCUUGAAUACAUUAGCAUGGAAUAAUGAAAUAGGACGUUUGAUCCUAUUUUGUUGGUUUCUAGGAUCGACGUAAUGAUUAAUAGGGAUAGUUGGGGGCAUUAGUAUUCAAUUGUCAGAGGUGAAAUUCUUGGAUUGAUUGAAGACUAACUACUGCGAAAGCAUUUGCCAAGGAUGUUUUCAUUAAUCAAGAACGAAAGUUAGGGGAUCGAAGACGAUCAGAUACCGUCGUAGUCUUAACCAUAAACUAUGCCGACUAGGGAUCGGAUGAUGUUAAUUUUUUAAUGACUCAUUCGGCGCCUUACG